Molecule: transfer RNA, 73 nt
Filed under: Corynebacterium uropygiale
Lineage: Bacteria; Bacillati; Actinomycetota; Actinomycetes; Mycobacteriales; Corynebacteriaceae
Also listed under: 14 other names
Rfam family: tRNA
About the family: Transfer RNA (tRNA) molecules are approximately 80 nucleotides in length. Their secondary structure includes four short double-helical elements and three loops (D, anti-codon, and T loops). Further hydrogen bonds mediate the characteristic L-shaped molecular structure. tRNAs have two regions of fundamental functional importance: the anti-codon, which is responsible for specific mRNA codon recognition, and the 3' end, to which the tRNAs corresponding amino acid is attached (by aminoacyl-tRNA synthetases). tRNAs cope with the degeneracy of the genetic code in two manners: having more than one tRNA (with a specific anti-codon) for a particular amino acid; and 'wobble' base-pairing, i.e. permitting non-standard base-pairing at the 3rd anti-codon position.
Source: Rfam by way of RNAcentral
GUCUCCGUAGCUCAGUGGAUAGAGCAUUGGUUUCCGGUACCAAAGGUCGCACGUUCGAAUCGUGUCGGGGACA